RNAcentral lists this long non-coding RNA (5495 nucleotides) under Panax ginseng (ginseng). RNAcentral describes it as "long non-coding RNA (PGIN_LNC008738)". Lineage: Eukaryota; Viridiplantae; Streptophyta; Magnoliopsida; Apiales; Araliaceae. The record is from RNAcentral.
AAUCAUACAACUUGUCCAAAAACAAUAAAAACAAAUAAAAUUAAGUUUAUUAUCCAAAAUCAUAAAUCUCUGAAUCUUACAAAAGUACAAAUAAACCACUAAUUAGUACGUUGAUUUUACAAAACCGUCCAUAACCACAAAAGUGCCUAAUUAAGGUCUCUGAAUACUCGCAAAUAUACGAGUUUGAGUUGUAGCCCAUGUAAACCCUUUAAUUUAACUUAGAUCUUUUCAAUGUCCUGCAAAAUGAAAGAGAAGAGUUUCGAGUUAAAAAUUAUAGGAAAUGCGUUUAAAAGAAAAGAUAACUAAUAUCAAACAAAGUUACCAUUGUAUAUAAAAAAAAUUUAAGGACCGUAAAUAGCAAAAAUGAAUAAUCAAGUGGAUUCAACGAAGACCAAGGGCUCAAGCAAGAAUAUAGAUCCUGCAGUUUGAUCUUAGCAGCAAAAAGUCAAGAGAUUCAUUGAACUCAAUGCAAAUGAUUUCCUUCUCAUGCAGCGAGGGAAGAAUAUAUACUUCUUAGCAGCAUAAAGUCGAAAGAUUCAAUAAAACACUUCCAAUUCAUGACAAUAUAGGAGGAUUAAUAGAAAGACAACGCCUUUCAAGAAGCAGGACAAGUAAGAAAAGCAAAUUGAUUAUAUAUGUGAUAUGUCCAACACUAAGAAAAGUUAAGCUCAAAUGUUUAAAGCUUGCAUGACACCAAAAGCAUUUUGAGUUUUGACCUUCAUGUUUAAACAGAACAGCUGGAUUCAUCUCAAAGAAAAAAAAAUUAAGAACAACUGCAAAUAAAAAGUUAUAAAUAUCCUAUCUGAUGGUGGUGGGAGUAAGAAUGUUUACUUUCAUCAACAAUACCAUCACAACAAUCAUGUGUUACCAUUAAAACUGUUCUCAUUAUAAUACCCAGCCUACAUAAGGGGAGAGCAAUAACCUGCCUUUAGCAUUAUAAUACCCAGCCAUCACAUUCACAACUUUGAAAUCUACAUUUACACAAAUUUCAUAUAAAUCAAACUUUAUAUUCCCCACUAGAAAAAUACCAAAUCCCUUCAUUUCAGUCUUUACUCAAUACGCUACAUUCUAGGCUUAUAGCUUUAUAAUUAUACGGAUAUGUAAGCCAGCCCAUUACACAAAGCUGAACUGUAUCAUCAAUUGUUUUUUUUUAUCUUUUUAAAAUUUCACGAAGCUAUUAUGGUGCAUUACAGCUUUGAAUUCAUAUCUUUGACAUUACCUUGAGUUGGUAUCAAAGAUACCUUCAAGCUAUUAGAAACUUUAACGUAGGAGUUAGGCAAAUGUCUAGGUAGCUCAAUCAAGAGGUUGAUUUUGGUUUGUGUGUUAGGAAUGAGUAUUGACCCAUUUGAAUCACGCUUGAAGAAAACCAGUUGAACUUGUUUGUUCGACCCUGGCGACUUCUAUGCAUGUUCAAAGGAUAUUUUGCAUACCUAAAACUUGGUUGCAGAUUUCACCUCAAGUUAGUGGCAUGCUCAAUUAAGCUUUCCACCAUCUAGUUGAUUAUUUUGAAUGAUAAUAAUCUUAGUCUUUAGUUAGUUAUGGUUAUCAAUCGAAAUUAAGUAGUACAAAGCAAUUAUAAUGGACUGAGGUUAUCAUACUUAAUUCACCAUGAAUCUCAAAAUUCAAUUCCUACUAUUGAGCCAUGUUUUUUACAGAGGCAGUAAUAAGAAGUAAAUGCAUUUAGUAGCAAUUAUAAUUUUUUACACUAAAAUUUAAAAUACUGACCUUUGCAACAAUCCAAUGGAUUUUCACUGAAUCAAUCUUCAUAAUGACUUCUUUAAAUGUAUUAUCUCUUCUGCAUGUAACCAUUCCACUCAACAACGGUGAUGACUGAUGUUGCUCUUCAAGAUAGCUUCUAACUGCUAUGAGCAGUGGCAGAUCUAUGUGGAGGACAGAAUAUAGGCAGUGCCUAUGCUGAACUUUUUUAUUUUUUUAUUUUUAGGUAUAGGGGCAAGGACAAAAAUAAAACUUAAUAAACGUAAGGGGACAAAUUUAUGAAAAAGUUCAACUUAGAGGGGGAAAAAAACUUAAACUACUACUCUAAAAAAACUAAACACACGGUGUAUAAUGUAUUCAAACUCUUACUCUCUAACUCGCUAAGCUUCAACCCUUCACUUCAAUCUUCAGCCCAAAAAAAUCCACUCAUGCUAGGAACAUAUACUGGAUCCGCCCCUGGCUGUGAGGAAGUUCUUGGUUGUGAUAGAUCUGCAAUAACAUAGAAAAACGACAUAAGCUUCUGUAAAUUUAGACACAAAUUACUUCCAUAAAUCUAAAGGGUGUAGCAUGUGUUAAUUAGAUGUAUGUAACAAUGCUCAAUAUUUUACUAACCACGCAUAAAAAGAGUUCUAGGAUUAUAUGAUGGCAAAUACUAGAAAGGUUUAUUAACAAAUCUGAGAUUCUUAUAGAUAACAGGUGCAAGUAGAAGGAAAUGAAAAUAUCUCUGAUGCUUAUAAUACCAACUACCUUUGUUCCACCACUUUCAACCACUGGUACCCCACAACACCCUUCUGCCUCAUAAGUUUAAAUGCCCCUUACACACCUUAGAAACAAAAGGGAAUGAUAAAAAAACAAAUUAGUUUACAAGAAAUUAAUGUGCAAGCAAGCCUUAAUGAGAAAAAAAUAUGGUAGCCAUUCAAGAAAAGCCCCAAUUAUAGUUUGCCAGGAUUAUGAGCAAGGUGACCAACUAUUAUAUUUGCAACAAUAGUACUUUGUUGACAAAAGAAUCUUACAAAAAAUUGUUUACAAAAUGAUGUGGCUGAUUGUGGUUGAUUAUUAUCACUAGACCCACCCAUUUAUGGUGGAUCAUCCACUAAUUACACUCUGCCACAUCAUUUUGUAAACUAGUUUUUGUUAGCUUUAUAUUGCAUGCACCAUUUUUUCACUAGACUUUAAAAAACUGGAAAUAAAAAACAAAGAGGUCAAUUGUGCAGUUAAGAACAUCAUAAUCAGUAGCUUCGACCGACUCUUUUAUGCACUUAUUACAGCUAAAGCCAUAGCAGCUCAGUCACAUAGAUUGUUGCCGCAGAUACAAACUACUAUUUGCUAGGAUACAUGUUAAUGGAAGAACUGAAGGAAACAAAACGAUCUCGAUGCUUCAACGUACAUAAUAAACUAAUUCCCAAUUUUGAAAGACGUUUGCAGAACAAAUCCCAGAUGAUGAAACAAAUGCAAUGAUAAAUGACCUCCUAAAGACAUAGAUUGGUUAACCCUUGACUAUUUCUUGACCUACUUAAAUUUAGCAUUUGCAUGCAAUGCUAAAAUUAAGUAUUAAAAUUCCCUCUUUCAAAUCAGUGAUGAAACCCUCGACCGGUACUAUCCAUUGAGAGGAAGAAAAACAAAUCAGUAUGGUGAUAUAUAGUCCCUCAAGGCACUUAAGGAGUAAUAAACAUGAGAAAAUUCAUCAGUCCCACCACUGUCCCGCUCUCAAAUUUCCAUUUAAUGAGAGACAAAUCAAAUAAUUAAGAAACAUAUAUUAUAUGCAUAAACAAAAGAAGAGGUUUCUAAGUUUCCCACCUUUUAUCUUGUUUAAUUGCUAGAAAAAUUAAUACCAUCUGAAUGAGAUUCAUAUACCUAUCACAUAAGAGAGUUUUCUAUUUGUUUGGUUGGUUUUAAUAGUAUCAUUCAACUUUUUUAAGAUUACAGUUAAUGGCUACCAACUUCAUCCAGAUAACUUUCCAACAAAGUAUUGCUGCUCUUGAAUUAGAACCCGACUUUGUCUGAUAUACUACAUUCCUUUCCUUUUCAUCUGUAUACUCAGGAAUUGGGAUGUACAAUGUUGACAUUUCGUACAUAAAUUUGUCUAGAUCUUAAAUAAUAAAUCGUCAUAACUCUUCAAAAAAACAAAUCAGCAUAGUGCACAUAACUUACAAACCUUAAACUGUAAAAUCAUGGGCCUAAAAAAAGAAUUUAUGCUGAAGUUUGAAACUGUAAUUUCUAUUAGUACUAGCACUAAAAGAGUGUUUAGACAACUCAUUGGUGAUUCAUUGAUAUGUUACAACAUGAAACCUCGAGGAGUUCUUUGCAUUCCAUGGACAUGAUAGUAUAUAAAAAAAUCUCCAAAUCAUAAUUUGUUUCAAACAUUUGACAGUAGCAGGACAAUAUUAUGCAUCAUGUCAUCAUGCAUGAGAUCAAUUUCCAAACAUGCAAGUUCCACUAUGUACAUUUUCUAAUGUGAUUUAGGAGAAAUCAAUGGGUUUUCCACAUAAUUCCUUUUGGUAGCUAAUUUUCUUCUUAAUAAAAAUCCUAAUUCAAUUGUCUAUAGUUACCUUGUCCAUUCAUACUUUACCAAUCAGUCUUACCAAAGCUUGUCUCCAUUGAGUUAUAGAUCCCUCAUCUAUGUUCCCAACACCAAUGUUUUAUUGCUCAGAUUAAGUUAUAAAUACUAAGAAUAACGUACAUCUAAAGUCAGAAAAAGUGAAUUACGUUACACCAUCCAUAUGGUUGCAUCAAAGAUAUAGACAAUAAAAAUGCUGCCAAAUUAAAAGAAAUUUAAACUCACAGAUGGAAAUGUCGUUGCAAUUUCAAAACAGAGCCUUGCAAGAUAAAGCAAACUUUUCUUUAUGUUAAAACUUCUCAUUAAUCUAAUGUCCUUUUUUUUCCAAUAAGAAUACUUUUUUUCUCUUUUUCGCCACUAAGAAUACCAAAUUGUAUCAAAUUGAUAUAAAGUAUUCAUUCAUUAAAAAGGUAAUCAUGAAAAUAAGGGACUAAUUAGAAACCACCAAAUUGUUUCAUAAAUGUUACAACUUUGAAUCCAUCACUUCCUUGAGAAAUUCUAGUUGCAAUUCCACUUUUUCUCUUAUUCUUCCUGAUAUGUAAAGUUAGUACAAUUCUACUCUUUCCAAUAGCCUAAGUUAAUUCAUCAAAAUUAUCUGAUAAAAAAUAACCAAGUGUCUCCAUUGAGUUGGUUAUAGACCUCUAAUAUAUGCCUUUCGAGUAAUACACAAACAACUAGUGACAGUUAGACGCCUCUGCCUUUUACAUUCAGUGAAGGAUGCACUACUAACUCUGGUUUUACUGUAAAGUACCAGGACACAGCUAAAAAACCCUAGAAUUAUCUACUCAUGCUGAUCAACGCAAAUCAAAAUCGAAGUAAAAUUAACUAAUAAACCAUCACAUAUAGAAAGAAAUUAGAAAAUGGUCAUAGCAAGGAAGAACAAAACCUUCUCUGAGUGUCAUGUUUUCUCAAACUUGAAGGCGAUGAGUACCGAAUCUCUUCUCCAACUCAAUCUGAAUCUGCUAAUUUCUAACUAAAUCGUUUGGGGGCUAGGUCUAGAAACAACGAAUCUCAAUCUGCUAAUUUCCAACUCAAUUGUUUGGGGUCUACAACUAGAUGUCGAUAUUUGGGAGGCGACUGAGCCAGAUAGCAAAAAGAGGAGAGAAGCGACUGAGGAGUGAGGAGAGUUGAGGUCAGGCGACCGUACGGGUGAGGGAGGCCCAAAUAUUUUAUUGGGCAAAGCAGAUAGUGCGGGAGUGAAAAGUUUGGAGGGAAAUUUUUU